This 492-nucleotide ribosomal RNA is filed under the name uncultured bacterium. RNAcentral describes it as "partial 16S ribosomal RNA". It matches the Rfam family "Bacterial small subunit ribosomal RNA", at positions 29 to 507 of the family's 1533-position model. The record is from RNAcentral.
AGUGAACGCUGGCGGUAGGCCUAACACAUGCAAGUCGAACGGCAGCACAGUAAGAGCUUGCUCUUACGGGUGGCGAGUGGCGGACGGGUGAGGAAUACAUCGGAAUCUACUUUUUCGUGGGGGAUAACGUAGGGAAACUUACGCUAAUACCGCAUACGACCUACGGGUGAAAGCAGGGGAUCUUCGGACCUUGCGCGAUUGAAUGAGCCGAUGUCGGAUUAGCUAGUUGGCGGGGUAAAGGCCCACCAAGGCGACGAUCCGUAGCUGGUCUGAGAGGAUGAUCAGCAACACUGGAACUGAGACAAGGUCCAGAAUCCUACGGGAGGCAGCAGUGGGGAAUAUUGGACAAUGGGCGCAAGCCUGAUCCAGCCAUACCGCGUGGGUGAAGAAGGCCUUCGGGUUGGAAAGCCCUUUUGUUGGGAAAGAAAAGCAGCAGGUUAAUACCCCGCUGUUCUGACGGUACCCAAAGAAUAAGCACCGGCUAACUUCGUG